UGACCGGCCACACUGGGACUGAGACCCGGCCCAGAUUCCUACGGGAGGCAGCAGUGGGGAAUAUUGCACAAUGGGCGAAAGCCUGAUGCAGCAACGCCGCGUGAGGGACGACGGCCUUCGGGUUGUAAACCUCUUUUAGCAGGGAAGAAGCGAAAGUGACGGUACCUGCAGAAAAAGCACCGGCUAACUACGUGCCAGCAGCCGCGGUAAUACGUAGGGUGCAAGCGUUGUCCGGAAUUAUUGGGCGUAAAGAGCUCGUAGGCGGUUUGUCGCGUCUGCUGUGAAAUCCCGAGGCUCAACCUCGGGUCUGCAGUGGGUACGGGCAGACUAGAGUGCGGUAGGGGAGAUUGGAAUUCCUGGUGUAGCGGUGGAAUGCGCAGAUAUCAGGAGGAACACCGAUGGCGAAGGCAGAUCUCUGGGCCGUAACUGACGCUGAGGAGCGAAAGGGUGGGGAGCAAACAGGCUUAGAUACCCUGGUAGUCCACCCCGUAAACGUUGGGAACUAGAUGUGGGGACCAUUCCACGGUCUCCGUGUCGCAGCUAACGCAUUAAGUUCCCCGCCUGGGGAGUACGGCCGCAAGGCUAAAACUCAAAGGAAUUGACGGGGGCCCGCACAAGCGGCGGAGCAUGCGGAUUAAUUCGAUGCAACGCGAAGAACCUUACCAAGGCUUGACAUAUACGAGAACGGGCCAGAAAUGGUCAACUCUUUGGACACUCGUAUACAGGUGGUGCAUGGUUGUCGUCAGCUCGUGUCGUGAGAUGUUGGGUUAAGUCCCGCAACGAGCGCAACCCUCGUUCUAUGUUGCCAGCACGUAAUGGUGGGAACUCAUGGGAUACUGCCGGGGUCAACUCGGAGGAAGGUGGGGACGACGUCAAAUCAUCAUGCCCCUUAUGUCUUGGGCUUCACGCAUGCUACAAUGGCCGAUACAAAGGGCUGCAAUACCGCAAGGUGGAGCGAAUCCCAAAAAGUCGGUCCCAGUUCGGAUUGAGGUCUGCAACUCGACCUCAUGAAGUCGGAGUCUAUAGUAAUAGCAGAUCAGCAACGGUGCGGUCAAUAUGUUCCGUAGCGUUUGACCCUCG
Molecule: ribosomal RNA, 1080 nt
Filed under: Okibacterium sp.
Lineage: Bacteria; Bacillati; Actinomycetota; Actinomycetes; Micrococcales; Microbacteriaceae
Description: bacterial SSU rRNA
Rfam family: Bacterial small subunit ribosomal RNA
Source: RNAcentral